This 478-nucleotide ribosomal RNA is filed under the name uncultured bacterium. RNAcentral's name for it is "partial 16S ribosomal RNA". It matches the Rfam family "Bacterial small subunit ribosomal RNA", at positions 28 to 523 of the family's 1533-position model. The record is from RNAcentral.
GACGAACGCUGGCGGCGUGCUUAACACAUGCAAGUCGAACGGUAAGGCCCUUCGGGGUACACGAGUGGCGAACGGGUGAGUAACACGUGGGUGAUCUGCCCUGCACUUCGGGAUAAGCCUGGGAAACUGGGUCUAAUACCGGAUAGGACCCUGGGAUGCAUGUCCUGGGGUGGAAAGCUUUUGCGGUGUGGGAUGGGCCCGCGGCCUAUCAGCUUGUUGGUGGGGUGAUGGCCUACCAAGGCGACGACGGGUAGCCGGCCUGAGAGGGUGACCGGCCACACUGGGACGGAGAUACGGCCCAGACUCCUACGGGAGGCAGCAGUGGGGAGUAUUGCACAAUGGGCGCAAGCCUGAUGCAGCGACGCCGCGUGAGGGAUGACGGCCUUCGGGUUGUAAACCUCUUUCAGCACCGACGAAGCGCAAGUGACGGUAGGUGCAGAAGAAGGACCGGCCAACUACGUGCCAGCAGCCGCGGUAA